This 301-nucleotide ribosomal RNA is filed under the name uncultured bacterium. Its description in RNAcentral is "partial 16S ribosomal RNA". It matches the Rfam family "Bacterial small subunit ribosomal RNA", at positions 509 to 809 of the family's 1533-position model. The record is from RNAcentral.
CAGUCGCCGCGGUAAUACGUAGGUGGCGAGCGUUGUCCGGAAUUAUUGGGCGUAAAGGGAGCGCAGGCGGACAUAUAAGUCCAUCUUAAAAGUGCGGGGCUCAACCCCGUGAGGGGAUGGAAACUGUAUGCCUUGAGUGCAGGAGAGGAAAGCGGAAUUCCCAGUGUAGCGGUGAAAUGCGUAGAUAUUGGGAGGAACACCAGUGGCGAAGGCGGCUUUCUGGACUGUAACUGACGCUGAGGCUCGAAAGCCAGGGGAGCGAACGGGAUUAGAUACCCGCGUAGUCCCUGUCUCUUAUACA